This is a long non-coding RNA of Peromyscus eremicus (cactus mouse), 685 nucleotides long. RefSeq lists it as uncharacterized. NCBI's taxonomy places the organism in Eukaryota, Metazoa, Chordata, Mammalia, Rodentia, Cricetidae. The transcript is spliced from 3 exons. The record is from RefSeq and is a predicted model, not a curated record.
CUCUGAGUCACUGAGCUUUUUUAUUUUUAUUUUUUGCCUUUCUGGCUUGCCUGCCUCCCACUACAGUCAGUGUUGUGCACCGCUCUGUUGCCAAUGUAGGGGAUCUUCUGAGCUUGGGGGCUGUGCUGCAAAACUCUGAGCAUGCCUCUGUGAUGGAAAGAGGCUGGGAGGAGGGAAGGGAUGCCCGGGAAGGGAAAGGAGAGAGAAAGGAGGGCCCGAGGAGAAAGGGAGAGAAACAUCUCGCUGACGUCAAAGAAGACCGCAUUCUACAGGAAGGACCAUGUUGCAGCCUGGCUGUUUUCACGGGGCAAAGGUGAUUUUCCAGGAAGCUGGCAGCCCCUUUCUCGACUUGAAAUGUGGAAUGAGUCCUGGGGAGAGGGCUGAGUUGGCAAAGUGCUGCUCUCACAAGCUUGAGAGCCUGAGUUCAGGAACCCAGAACCGACAUUUAAAAAGAAACCAACAACAAAAAAAUCUGUCAAGAUGGGUCAGUGAAUGAAGACAAUUGCCGCCGAGCCUGCAAACCUAAGUAAGCAUAAGCCUCACACACGGUGGGAUGAGAGAAACGACUCCUAAAAGAUGACCUCUGUUCUCCUGUGCGCACAUUUGCCGCCCCAAUUAAAAAAAAAUAAAUUAAAAUUUAAAAACAAUUCUUCCAGGUAAACUUUAUAAAUAUCCCAAAGUAGCA